AUCCAGCUGACGAGUCCGAAAUAAGACGAAAUGCGCGUCAAACUGAAU
Schistosoma mattheei is the source of this 48-nucleotide non-coding RNA. NCBI's taxonomy places the organism in Eukaryota, Metazoa, Platyhelminthes, Trematoda, Strigeidida, Schistosomatidae. The record is from Rfam.